AAGUCGUAACAAGGUUUCCGUAGGUGAACCUGCGGAAGGAUCAUUAACACGUAUAUCGUUUUAACCAUCCCUCAACCCCUCUGUGAACUAAAAAAAACAAACCUCCUAACCUAAAUCCUGUUCUGGCUCUCGUAGUUGGUUCAGGUCGCUCCAGCUUAACUCUUGGCUUUCGGGCUGCUUUAAGCGUGCGUUUCAUCGUUCUUUAACAGAGAAUGGUGAGAUGGCAGGGCGUCACAACAAAACCCCCUAAAUUAUUACUACUGAAACCCCCCUAACUUAGACCGAGGGCGUUCGCGCUUUUUUGUCUGGUUAACAAAAAUACAAAAACAACUCUUAACAACGGAUAUCUUGGUUCUC
Molecule: unclassified non-coding RNA, 357 nt
Filed under: fungal sp.
Lineage: Eukaryota; Fungi
Description: partial internal transcribed spacer region
Rfam family: Eukaryotic small subunit ribosomal RNA (bases 1-46)
Source: RNAcentral